RNAcentral lists this long non-coding RNA (254 nucleotides) under Helianthus annuus (common sunflower). RNAcentral's name for it is "sRNA HanXRQr2_Chr01g0024011". The record is from RNAcentral. Lineage: Eukaryota; Viridiplantae; Streptophyta; Magnoliopsida; Asterales; Asteraceae.
UAAGUCUCAGAAGUUUAAUAAGUCUCAGUAGUCUCAGAAGUUUAAUAAGUCUCAGUAGUCUAAGAAGUUCAUACGUGAGCUUAAAAUGGUUAAUGAGCAUAUAGACACGAAAAGUUUACAUGGCAUACGAGAUUAACAAGCAUCAAAAUUGUUUCAUGUUUAAAAAUGGAUAGAGUGUGCAUAUAACAAGUUUCAAGCGUUGCGUGUUUUUAGAUAGAAUACAUGUUGCACCCAAAAGUGAUAAAAUAAAAAUG